GUAGGUGGCAAGCGUUGUCCGGAAUUAUUGGGCGUAAAGCGCGCGCAGGCGGUUCUUUAAGUCUGAUGUGAAAGCCCACGGCUCAACCGUGGAGGGUCAUUGGAAACUGGAGAACUUGAGUACAGAAGAGGAAAGCGGAAUUCCACGUGUAGCGGUGAAAUGCGUAGAGAUGUGGAGGAACACCAGUGGCGAAGGCGGCUUUCUGGUCUGUAACUGACGCUGAGGCGCGAAAGCGUGGGGAGCAAACAGGGAUUAGAUACCCUGGUAGUCCACGCCGUAAACGAUGAGUGCUAAGUGUUGGGGGGGGUUUUCCCGCCCCCUUAGUGCUGCAGCUAACGCAUUAAGCACUCCGCCUGGGGAGUACGGCCGCAAGGCUG
Molecule: ribosomal RNA, 377 nt
Filed under: uncultured organism
Description: partial 16S ribosomal RNA
Rfam family: Bacterial small subunit ribosomal RNA
Source: RNAcentral